UAUUUCUAUCUCUAUCUCCCUCCUUGCCUAACCCUUCUUCCCUCCCUCUCCCUCAGUCUGACUCCCCCUCUUUCUUCUCCUUUUUCUUACAAGUGUGUGUGUGUGUGUGUGUGUGCGCGCGCGCGCGCGCGCGCGUGUGGGUGUGUGUGUGCAUUAUUUUUUUAACCUUAUGAACAAGGACCCUCUUAAGACUGAGGAGGGCUGUCACCCGCCACCUGUGUCUAUCCCCCUUGUUGUCUUUGGUUCUGUUCUUGCCAAGCCCCACACAGGGAGAAAGUGGCCUCUCUCCCCCCCUUACUUGGCUAGGAAUAUUCUCACAGCUUUGGCCUGCAGAUAUCACCAGGAAGCAGGCACCCCGUCGCGCCUCCCAGCACCGUCUUCUCCUUUCUGCAUUUUUUUUCUCCUACCUCCCACCUUCAUUCCCACCCCUCCAAAAAGCCUUAGGUUUCUCCUUUUUGAAAUGUGGCCUUAAAAUUAUUUUUGGAAAGCUGACAUCCUCCCCCUCUAAUUUUCUCCACCAUCAUGGGAGAGAGAACAUCUUGAAGCCUGGGUGUGUGGCGGCCUCCUGAGCAAAGGGACUGCCAAUCUGUAGUCUGCAGAUGCACUAGGAAUGACUUAAAUGUCAUCUUUAAGAAAAAAAAGUUCUCAUAUUUUUUCCUAUGGGCAAAAUGAAGUCUUGGCUGCUCGUGCAGUUCUGAAGCGUCCUCCAUGUUGCUGUGGCAGUGGCUGGAACCACCAGCAGAUGUUCACUACAGCUUCCUGGCCUCCCCUUCCCUCAAGACCCAGUGACUUUAGGUACUUCAUUUAAGGAUGAGUCAGGAAUGUUUCUCAGUUUAUCGCUUAUCUUCCUUGCCGGGAAAGUGACAGCAUUAAGUAUUCCCAGUGGAUGGGUCAUUUCCUGAAGGGAUGGUCCAUUCUGUCCUUCAGACUCCACCUCGAACCCCUUCCAUCACUCUAGUGCUGAUGGGAGCCAAAGACAACCCCAGGGUUUUCAUAGGAAGUUCGCUGGUAUUGAGUGUAAUUGUCCUUAUCCACUGACCUUUACUUUUAAAGGAUUCAAAAGAGACUCUUCUGUUGUCUGUAGCAUUUGUCCUGAUGUUUGUUUUAGAGGCCUGGAGAUAAGUCAUUACUGCCUCCUUCUUUGUUUUCAAAGACAUGUGGUGAUAUAGUUUUUAAAAAUAACUAUUUUGUUAUAGAUCAUAAUAUGCAUAAAACUGUACAGAAAUAUUUUGUAAUGUAUUGAUUUUAAAAAAGAGAAUCUGUAAAUAAAAGUUUAAAAAAUAAGAAAGAGUUCACAUGGCACACGCUGAAAGAUGUAGAUAUUUUGCUAUUUAUUUAAAGGAGUAUUUUAAGAAAUAUUAAACUAUCUGAAUUGACCAAUAAUCAAAGUUCUAAUCAUCUGAAUACUUGUCAUCCAGGUAGAGUCCAGCUCUCACAGACAACUGUGUUACCGCCCAUAUCUGCCUCUUUCCUGUCUUUUGAUUUAGCAAAAAACAACAACAAAAUUGUGCCUUAGCUGUAUUUCUGUCUAGGGGAAUCUGUUUCUGUCCAACAAAGCAACUUUUUUUUUUGCAGAAAACAGUGGAUUAUUAAAUACUGUAUUAUACCAAAAACACCACAGGUGUACAUAGAUGCUUUCUGCCAUACUGUGUUUUCAGAUGCAGAAUUUUAAAAUAAAAGAAAAAUGUCUCUAUGAAAUCUCA
RNAcentral lists this long non-coding RNA (1703 nucleotides) under Rattus norvegicus (Norway rat). RNAcentral's name for it is "long non-coding RNA NONRATT001133". The record is from RNAcentral. Lineage: Eukaryota; Metazoa; Chordata; Mammalia; Rodentia; Muridae.